Molecule: ribosomal RNA, 253 nt
Filed under: uncultured bacterium
Lineage: Bacteria
Description: partial 16S ribosomal RNA
Rfam family: Bacterial small subunit ribosomal RNA
Source: RNAcentral
UACGGAGGGUGCAAGCGUUAUCCGGAUUUACUGGGCUUAAAGGGUGCGCAGGCGGUUAUGUAAGUCAGUGGUGAAAUCUCCGGGCUUAACCCGGAAACUGCCGUUGAUACUAUAUAUCUUGAAUGCUGUGGAGGUAAGCAGAAUAUGUCAUGUAGCGGUGAAAUGCUUAGAGAUGACAUAGAAUACCUAUUGCGAAGGCAGCUUACUACGCAGAUAUUGACGCUCAUGCACGAAAGCGUGGGGAUCAAACAGG